RNAcentral lists this ribosomal RNA (440 nucleotides) under uncultured Acidimicrobiales bacterium. RNAcentral's name for it is "bacterial SSU rRNA". It matches the Rfam family "Bacterial small subunit ribosomal RNA", at positions 338 to 795 of the family's 1533-position model. Lineage: Bacteria; Bacillati; Actinomycetota; Acidimicrobiia; Acidimicrobiales. The record is from RNAcentral.
CCUACGGGAGGCUGCAGUGGGGAAUCUUGCGCAAUGGGCGAAAGCCUGACGCAGCAACGCCGCGUGCGGGAUGAAGGCCUUCGGGUUGUAAACCGCUUUCAGCAGGGACGAAAAUGACGGUACCUGCAGAAGAAGCCCCGGCUAACUACGUGCCAGCAGCCGCGGUAAUACGUAGGGGGCAAGCGUUGUCCGGAUUUAUUGGGCGUAAAGAGCUCGUAGGCGGUUCCGUAAGUCGAGUGUGAAAAAUCUGGGCUCAACCCAGUGGAGCACUCGAUACUGCGGUGACUAGAGUACGGUAGAGGAGUGUGGAAUUCCUGGUGUAGCGGUGAAAUGCGCAGAUAUCAGGAGGAACACCAACGGCGAAGGCAGCACUCUGGGCCGGUACUGACGCUGAGGAGCGAAAGCGUGGGGAGCAAACAGGAUUAGAUACCCCUGUAGUC